RNAcentral lists this long non-coding RNA (247 nucleotides) under Elaeis guineensis (African oil palm). RNAcentral's name for it is "long non-coding RNA (EGUI_LNC030452)". Lineage: Eukaryota; Viridiplantae; Streptophyta; Magnoliopsida; Arecales; Arecaceae. The record is from RNAcentral.
GGGAUGGAAAUCAGCUGCUCAGCUGGUUCACCCCGCUCCUCUUCUUUCCAUUGGUCCAGCUUGUCGACCGUUAGGGAGUCCUUUGAUUCAUUGCUUUGCGUAGAGAUUUGGAAGUACUGCCGAGCGAGUUGUUGAUCCCCGCAUAUUUUUUCGGCUUCGAUUUUAGUUGGGAACCGAACCAGCAAGUGGUAUGUCGAGACUAUCGCCCUGAGGACGUUUAGUCCGAAUCUUCCAAGUAUGGCAUUGU